This 181-nucleotide ribosomal RNA is filed under the name uncultured bacterium. Its description in RNAcentral is "partial 16S ribosomal RNA". It matches the Rfam family "Bacterial small subunit ribosomal RNA", at positions 1320 to 1500 of the family's 1533-position model. The record is from RNAcentral.
GUGAAGUCGGAAUCGCUAGUAAUCGCGGAUCAGCAUGCCGCGGUGAAUACGUUCCCGGGCCUUGUACACACCGCCCGUCACACCAUGAGAGUUGGGAACACCCGAAGUCCGUAGCCUAACCGCAAGGGGGGCGCGGCCGAAGGUGGGUUCAAUAAUUGGGGUGAAGUCGUAACAAGGUACC